CAUGAAUCUGUAGUCGAAAGUCUGAACCUCCUUAGACGUUUCGGACACUGAGAGAAAACAACAACAGUCAUGGCCACAAGGAAGAGUGUAUCGCUCUCGGUCUUUGCAACAUUUCUCCUGCAAUUUGUCGUUCAGGUUUCUGGUGAAUUCCCAAUAUGUGGAGUCCUGAGCAGCCGGCCAAAUGCCACCACCACACUUACCGAGAAACACUGCAUUGUGUACUUCAGUAGCAUAACAACUUUACCUGAUGGUGUGGAGAAUGCAGUUUACUUCCCUGUGUCUGAUGCUCUGGAAUGGAAUGUCUGCAACCUGGAUGAGCCUCCUCCAUCAGGAAUUGAGGACCAUUAUAUCUUCCUUUCCAUGGAGAAUAACUGUUCAGCCUUUGAUCAGGCUAACAGGGUUCAGGAAAUGGGUGGGGCUGGAACCCUCAUGGUCAUGGAGAAACUGAAAUCACAGGAAAUGAAGACAGAUGGCGUUAAUGUCACCUUGGCUUUUGUGGAGAACUCUAGCUAUGUUAAGAUCAUGAAUUCAGGUGAUGAAGUGACUGUGGGACUCUACCUCCCCAAAGAUUCUCCCAUCCAUUUAAGCCUCAUUGUCAUCUGGUUCCUGGCCAUGUUCUCUGUUAUUGUUGGAGCCUAUUGGUCUGGGACUGUCCGGCAUGAAUUAUAUGUAGUACAACAUGAGCGAGAGGAACAGUAUAAUGCUGUCCAAGAGCCAGUGCUGCCCUAUGAAGAAACCUCUAUUAAUAUGACAGUGAAAAGCAUAUUGGGAUUUGUAGUCUUGAUGUGCAUAAUGCUACUGUGUCUCUAUUUCCUCUAUGCUUAUCUAGUGUACAUCAUCAUUGCAAUGUUCUGUCUCGCUUCUGCCAUUGCUACAUACUGCUGUCUUGACCCAUUAGUGUCAAGAAUGCCAUGUGGCACAACCAGAACUCCUUACUUCAACAUAUACAUUGUCCGCGGCACACUGAUGGUUCGCCAGAUCCUGCUUCUGAUGUUUGCUUUUGGACUGUCAAUCACUUGGGUGGUGCUAAGGAAGGAGCCAUGGGCAUGGAUCCUGCAGGAUAUUCUAGGCAUUAUGUUCAGCAUCAAUGUUUUGAAAAUGAUCCGUCUGCCGAGCCUGAAGAUCUGCACUUUCUUAUUGUGUGGCCUUGUGAUCUAUGACAUUUUCUUUGUAUUCAUCACUCCACUUCUUACAUCGGAUGGUAAGAGCAUAAUGGUUGAGGUGGCCAAAGGUGGUCCAAGCCAGGAGCAGAUGCCGAUGGUGCUCAAAGUUCCAAACUUUGACUUCGAGCUCUCCAAGAUAUGCGAUCUGCAGGACAACUACAACCUGCUCGGCUUUGGAGACAUCCUCAUACCUGGGCUCCUUGUGUCUUUCGUGCAUUCCUUCGACCUACAGGCUGGCACACCUUGCCGCCUCUACUUCAUCAUCAAUAUCAUAGGCUACGGCUCGGGGCUGGUGACCACCUUCAUCGCGCUGUGGCUGAUGAGCUUCGCCCAGCCCGCCCUGCUCUACCUCGUGCCCUUCACGCUCAUCCCCACCUUCGUCACCGCCGCCGCCAGAGGGGAGUUCAUGGCCAUGUGGCGAGGCGACUCCGACAAGCAACCUCUUCUGCGUAAAUGUUGCUAGGCCUCCGCCCAGGUUUGGCCUAUCAUUUAUGACCUGACUUGCCCCUUUUCCCCGAGUUCGACUGUGAGGCAGAUGCGGACGCGGUGUCGGUGACGGAGAGCCACAACGCCACCAACGCGGCCGUCGUCACGACGACCCACUCGGCCGACACCGCCAGCCGCCGGACCAACGCCACCAACACCGUAGCACCCACC
RNAcentral lists this unclassified non-coding RNA (1820 nucleotides) under Penaeus japonicus. RNAcentral's name for it is "signal peptide peptidase-like 2A, transcript variant X2". Lineage: Eukaryota; Metazoa; Arthropoda; Malacostraca; Decapoda; Penaeidae. The record is from RNAcentral.